GAAACAGCACAGGUGUUUCCUCUGAUAGCUCUGUGUCUCUCUGACCAGGAAGUUGCAGCCGUCCACGCCUUCCCAGCCAAAAGACUGACAUCCAGUAGCCUCGCUCAGACGGACCCGUCAACACAUCAGACCAUGGCCUCACCUCAGGACGCCACUCUCUGUAUUUAAUAAACAGCUGGAAGCAACAAACAUCAACGUUUCAGUGAGCCGUCAACUUCCUGUUUCUUGUGCCAAAGACACCAAUGAGAGUGAUGAGAGAGAGUCAUAAAAGUUGGGCAGUUGUGGGGCCAAAACAGUGAGCUGGAAGAUGCUAAAUGUUAGCAGAACUGCAGAGUGGGUGUUUCAGUCGCCAAGCCUUUCAUUUACAAGAAGCAAUGCAGUCCAUUACUGACCUCCACCCAUCAGCCACAACGUUAUGACCACUGACAGGUCAAACAACCUCCCAAUCCCCAUGGCAACAGCAGUCCUUGAUGCCAGUUGCAACCCGCAGCAGGACAAAUUACCCCAACACAC
Molecule: long non-coding RNA, 513 nt
Organism: Amphiprion ocellaris (clown anemonefish)
Lineage: Eukaryota; Metazoa; Chordata; Actinopteri; Pomacentridae
Source: Ensembl